CUGGCGGCAGGCCUACACAUGCAAGUCGAACGGACCCUUCGGGGUUAGUGGCGGACGGGUGAGUAACACGUGGGAACGUGCCUUUAGGUUCGGAAUAGCUCCUGGAAACGGGUGGUAAUGCCGAAUGUGCCCUUCGGGGGAAAGAUUUAUCGCCUUUAGAGCGGCCCGCGUCUGAUUAGCUAGUUGGUGAGGUAAUGGCUCACCAAGGCGACGAUCGUAGCUGGUCUGAAAGAUGACCACCCCCCUGGGGACUGAAACCCGGCCAAACUCUACGGGAG
RNAcentral lists this ribosomal RNA (278 nucleotides) under Brevundimonas sp. VCS-25. Its description in RNAcentral is "partial 16S ribosomal RNA". It matches the Rfam family "Bacterial small subunit ribosomal RNA", at positions 36 to 347 of the family's 1533-position model. Lineage: Bacteria; Pseudomonadati; Pseudomonadota; Alphaproteobacteria; Caulobacterales; Caulobacteraceae. The record is from RNAcentral.